This 73-nucleotide transfer RNA is filed under the name Mus musculus (house mouse). RNAcentral's name for it is "tRNA-Ser". The record is from RNAcentral. Lineage: Eukaryota; Metazoa; Chordata; Mammalia; Rodentia; Muridae.
GGCGAGAUGGCUCAGUGGUUAAGAGCGCCGACUGCUCUUCUGAAGGUCCUGAGUUCAAAUCCCUGUUGUGGUG